This 492-nucleotide ribosomal RNA is filed under the name uncultured bacterium. Its description in RNAcentral is "partial 16S ribosomal RNA". It matches the Rfam family "Bacterial small subunit ribosomal RNA", at positions 29 to 507 of the family's 1533-position model. The record is from RNAcentral.
AGUGAACGCUGGCGGUAGGCCUAACACAUGCAAGUCGAACGGCAGCACAGUAAGAGCUUGCUCUUACGGGUGGCGAGUGGCGGACGGGUGAGGAAUACAUCUGAAUCUACUUUUUCGUGGGGGAUAACGUAGGGAAACUUACGCUAAUACCGCAUACGACCUACGGGUGAAAGCAGGGGAUCUUCGGACCUUGCGCGAUUGAAUGAGCCGAUGUCGGAUUAGCUAGUUGGCGGGGUAAAGGCCCACCAAGGCGACGAUCCGUAGCUGGUCUGAGAGGAUGAUCAGCCACACUGGAACUGAGACACGGUCCAGACUCCUACGGGAGGCAGCAGUGGGGAAUAUUGGACAAUGGGCGCAAGCCUGAUCCAGCCAUACCGCGUGGGUGAAGAGGGCCUUCGGGUUGUAAAGCCCUUUUGUUGGGAAAGAAAAGCAGCAGGUUAAUACCCCGCUGUUCUGACGGUACCCAAAGAAUAAGCACCGGCUAACUUCGUG